AAUGGGCGCAAGCCUGAUGCAGCCAUGCCGCGUGUAUGAAGAAGGCCUUCGGGUUGUAAAGUACUUUCAGCGAGGAGGAAGGGGGAAUGGUUAAUAACCAUUUUCAUUGACGUUACUCGCAGAAGAAGCACCGGCUAACUCCGUGCCAGCAGCCGCGGUAAUACGGAGGGUGCAAGCGUUAAUCGGAAUUACUGGGCGUAAAGCGCACGCAGGCGGUCUGUCAAGUCGGAUGUGAAAUCCCCGGGCUCAACCUGGGAACUGCAUUCGAAACUGGCAGGCUAGAGUCUUGUAGAGGGGGGUAGAAUUCCAGGUGUAGCGGUGAAAUGCGUAGAGAUCUGGAGGAAUACCGGUGGCGAAGGCGGCCCCCUGGACAAAGACUGACGCUCAGGUGCGAAAGCGUGGGGAGCAAA
Molecule: ribosomal RNA, 410 nt
Filed under: uncultured bacterium
Lineage: Bacteria
Description: bacterial SSU rRNA
Rfam family: Bacterial small subunit ribosomal RNA
Source: RNAcentral